ACCACCGCCCCCAUCACCUGGACCGGCGUCAA
RNAcentral lists this non-coding RNA (32 nucleotides) under Geobacter sulfurreducens PCA. Lineage: Bacteria; Pseudomonadati; Thermodesulfobacteriota; Desulfuromonadia; Geobacterales; Geobacteraceae. The record is from RNAcentral.